This 1867-nucleotide unclassified non-coding RNA is filed under the name Hevea brasiliensis (rubber tree). Lineage: Eukaryota; Viridiplantae; Streptophyta; Magnoliopsida; Malpighiales; Euphorbiaceae. The record is from RNAcentral.
CCGCUCCACUAUGAGUAGAGCAGAGCUGACAUUAGAGAAAUGGAGGAGCAGAGCUGUAAAGGGAGGAGGCUGACUUGGGGCCCUGACGCUGAACAUGUUCCCCGUAUAAAUUUUGCCAUCCACAAACCCUGUUUUUAAUUCUCUCCCUCCAUAAAGGAUGUUCUUCUCUUGACCCAUUAUCUGCAAAUUUUAUUCAUGAUUCUCUCUCCCCAUUUUCCUCUAUCUCCCACUAAAACGAUGAAAAAAUCCCUCCCUUAUCACAAUUUUUUGUUUCAAUUCUCCCUCCUUUUGUACUCUGCGAAAUGGAAUCACGGGUUCGUUUUCUUUUGUCCUAUGGACCAAUUGCUUUCCUCUCGCGUUGCCAUCCUUUCUUUUCUGCUUUUGCUUUUGGGUCCUUUUGCAGAAUCAGUUCUGGUUCCAAAUCAUCUUUACCAGGCUGCAAGCAAAGGCCAUGUUGCUGCUGGAGAGGAUAGCAUCAUAUUGAACCGUAGAUUUGAGGAUGGCCUUAAUAAUUGGUCUGGUAAAGGCUGUAAAAGUGAACUACAUGAAUCUUUGUGAGAUGGAAGAAUCAUUCCACAAUUAUGACACACAGAAAAGUUAAAUGGAAUUUAACAAGAGAUCACUGGAAGAGUGCAGCAACAUGUUGCUUAUCAGGUCAUUGCACUAGUUCAAAUAUAUAGUGGCAAUCUCACCAGUGCUGUUGUGCAGGUCACUUUGUGGUUUCAAGAACAAGAUCUUUGUGAAGAGUACAUUGCCAUUGCCAAAAUUCACAUUUUGGAGUGAAUAUGGUUGAGAACAGCAAUCUUGAUGAUGGCACUACUGGCUGGUUUCCUCUUGGUACCUGAUAUGUCUCUAAAUAGCUGCUGCAUCCUGGUAACCAAUCAUUCAGAUUCUUGGACGGGUCCUGCUCAGAUGAUAACUGAUAAACUGCAACUCUAUUUGACAUACCAAGUAUCUGCUUGGGUUUGAAUUGGUGCUGGAGCAACUGAAGCUCAGAUUUUAAAUGUUGCACUUAGCGUGGAUGGGCGGUGGGUAAUUGGGGGUGAAGUUGAGUCUAAUGAUGACAAGUGGCAUGAAAUUGGUGGGUCCUUUAGAAUUGAGAAGCAGUCAUCCAAUAUUAUGGAUUAUGUUCAAGGUCCUGCUUCAGGUGUUGAUUUAAUGGUUGCAGGAGUUCUUACCUUUCCUGUAUACUGGAAAGAAAGGUUUAAGUAUUUGAGGGAGAAAACAGAUAAAGUAAUGGCAAAAACAACUUUUUAGGUAUUUGCUUUUGAUUGAUUCCCUAUAAAACAAAACUGAAAUCUCGAUCCUUUUGGACAUUGAAUAAGUUGCCUUCUUUAAUUUGAGUGAAUGUUUCUCUCCUAUUCUGGAAAGGAUUUAUAUGAGCUGUUUAUAGUCAUUAAUGGGACAUGCUAUUAUGCACUCUUCUACAUUAAUUUCAUUCCAGCAUUACAGUUACCAAUUAUAGUGUUUCCCUAUCUAACAGCAACCUUCAAUGCAAAACGAAUCUUAGUUCUUGGCUUCUUGCAGUCUUACCUACCUGCUUCUUUAGCUAUUCUUUACAUUUUAUUCUGCAAUCAUAGAAUUUAGUCAGUUGUAAUUUUAGAAGAUCUUAUUUGGUUGGAUAAAUUAUGGAAUAAAUUCUAUAGUUAGAUGAUUUUUUUUUUGUUCAUGAUUAUCACAUUGAGGAUGAAAUUGACAUUAGUUCAACACCAGAGAAAUGCAUACAGCAAUUUCUUGACCUCAAGGAGCAAGGUGCUCCAAUGGGAGGAAUUGGCAUUCAAGGGUAUAUUGGUGUUCCAGUAGGACCCAUUGUUUGUUCUGCUCUGAACAAAUUAGGAACUCUUGGUCUUCCAAUCUGGUUUACAGA